UUUAGGGAUGGGUAUCUGGUGCCUUCGGGUUUUUUUGAGACAGGUGCUGCUUGGCUGUCGUCAGCUCGUGUCGUGAGAUGUUGGGUUAAGUCCCGUAACGAGCGCAACCCUUGUCCUUAGUUACCAGCACGUGAUGGUGGGCACUCUAAGGAGACUGCCGGUGACAAACCGGAGGAAGGUGGGGAUGACGUCAAGUCAUCAUGGCCCUUACGGCCUGGGCUACACACGUGCUACAAUGGUCGGUACAGAGGGUUGCCAAGCCGCGAGGUGGAGCUAA
Molecule: ribosomal RNA, 277 nt
Filed under: uncultured Pseudomonas sp.
Lineage: Bacteria; Pseudomonadati; Pseudomonadota; Gammaproteobacteria; Pseudomonadales; Pseudomonadaceae
Description: partial 16S ribosomal RNA
Rfam family: Bacterial small subunit ribosomal RNA
Source: RNAcentral